This 253-nucleotide ribosomal RNA is filed under the name uncultured bacterium. RNAcentral describes it as "partial 16S ribosomal RNA". It matches the Rfam family "Bacterial small subunit ribosomal RNA", at positions 524 to 776 of the family's 1533-position model. The record is from RNAcentral.
GACGAACCGUGCGAACGUUGUUCGGAUUCACUGGGCUUAAAGGGCGCGUAGGCGGGCCGCCAAGUCAGGGGUGAAAUCCUCCGGCUCAACCGGAGAACGGCCCCUGAUACUGGCGGCCUCGAGGGGGGUAGGGGCAGGCGGAACUUCCGGUGGAGCGGUGAAAUGCGUAGAUAUCGGAAGGAACGCCGGUGGCGAAAGCGGCCUGCUGGACCCCAUCUGACGCUGAUGCGCGAAAGCCAGGGGAGCAAACGGG